UUUUAUGGAGAGUUUGAUCCUGGCUCAGGAUGAACGCUGGCGGCGUGCCUAAUACAUGCAAGUCGAGCGAACAGAUAAGGAGCUUGCUCCUUUGACGUUAGCGGCGGACGGGUGAGUAACACGUGGGUAACCUACCUAUAAGACUGGAAUAACUCCGGGAAACCGGGGCUAAUGCCGGAUAACAUUUAGAACCG
RNAcentral lists this ribosomal RNA (194 nucleotides) under Staphylococcus cohnii. Its description in RNAcentral is "partial 16S ribosomal RNA". It matches the Rfam family "Bacterial small subunit ribosomal RNA", at positions 1 to 188 of the family's 1533-position model. Lineage: Bacteria; Bacillati; Bacillota; Bacilli; Caryophanales; Staphylococcaceae. The record is from RNAcentral.